CAGGACGUAGCUAAGACAGUCAAAGCACCUCCCUUACACUGAGGAGCCACUCGUGCAAAUCGAGUCGUUCUGA
RNAcentral lists this transfer RNA (73 nucleotides) under Guentherus altivela (highfin tadpole fish). RNAcentral's name for it is "tRNA-Val". It matches the Rfam family "tRNA". Rfam says of the family: Transfer RNA (tRNA) molecules are approximately 80 nucleotides in length. Their secondary structure includes four short double-helical elements and three loops (D, anti-codon, and T loops). Further hydrogen bonds mediate the characteristic L-shaped molecular structure. tRNAs have two regions of fundamental functional importance: the anti-codon, which is responsible for specific mRNA codon recognition, and the 3' end, to which the tRNAs corresponding amino acid is attached (by aminoacyl-tRNA synthetases). tRNAs cope with the degeneracy of the genetic code in two manners: having more than one tRNA (with a specific anti-codon) for a particular amino acid; and 'wobble' base-pairing, i.e. permitting non-standard base-pairing at the 3rd anti-codon position. The record is from RNAcentral. Lineage: Eukaryota; Metazoa; Chordata; Actinopteri; Ateleopodiformes; Ateleopodidae.